CGCUGGCGGCGUGCUUAACACAUGCAAGUCGAGCGAUGAAGCUCCUUCGGGAGUGGAUAGCGGCGGGCGGGUGAGUAACACGUGGGUAACCUGCCUCAUAGAGGGGAAUAGCCUUUCGAAAGGAAGAUUAAUACCGCAUAAGAUUGUAGUACCGCAUGGUACAGCAAUUAAAGGAGUAAUCCGCUAUGAGAUGGACCCGCGUCGCAUUAGCUAGUUGGUGAGGUAACGGCUCACCAAGGCGACGAUGCGUAGCCGACCUGAGAGGGUGAUCGGCCACAUUGGGACUGAGACACGGCCCAGACUCCUACGGGAGGCAGCAGUGGGGAAUAUUGCACAAUGGGGGAAACCCUGAUGCAGCAACGCCGCGUGAGUGAUGACGGUCUUCGGAUUGUAAAACUCUGUCUUUAGGGACGAUAAUGACGGUACCUAAGGAGGAAGCCACGGCUAACUACGUGCCAGCCGCCGC
RNAcentral lists this ribosomal RNA (466 nucleotides) under uncultured bacterium. RNAcentral's name for it is "bacterial SSU rRNA". It matches the Rfam family "Bacterial small subunit ribosomal RNA", at positions 34 to 518 of the family's 1533-position model. The record is from RNAcentral.